AAGACUUUAAGUUAAUAAAACUUUUAUCCUUCAAAGCUAAAAAUAAAGAAGUAUCUUUAAGUCUUA
This 66-nucleotide transfer RNA is filed under the name Panesthia tryoni tryoni. Its description in RNAcentral is "tRNA-Trp". The record is from RNAcentral. Lineage: Eukaryota; Metazoa; Arthropoda; Insecta; Blattodea; Blaberidae.